RNAcentral lists this long non-coding RNA (291 nucleotides) under Dermacentor andersoni. RNAcentral describes it as "uncharacterized LOC126539181". Lineage: Eukaryota; Metazoa; Arthropoda; Arachnida; Ixodida; Ixodidae. The record is from RNAcentral.
GUGUGAGGAGCCUCCACCCGGCUGUAACUUAACAAUCAGCAAUGGAACGAUUCCUGAGUGUUGCCAUCUAAGCUGUUUGAAAAUAACUCAGAGAUGCCUCUCAACUAACGGCACGCUGUUAGACGAUGGCCAAAGCAUAGCCCUCGCAACACCCUGUAGGAAUGAAACCUGUGUUCACGGGGACCUUAAAUUUCAAGAGUGCCCGAAAGAGACUGACCCAAAGUGCUCUCCUUCUUUUGGAGCGGGCGAACCUUUUCCCACAUGUUGCGGCGUGGGUAGAGUCUGCUCAAG